RNAcentral lists this ribosomal RNA (601 nucleotides) under uncultured bacterium. Its description in RNAcentral is "bacterial SSU rRNA". It matches the Rfam family "Bacterial small subunit ribosomal RNA", at positions 725 to 1330 of the family's 1533-position model. The record is from RNAcentral.
CUGACGGGAGUGCAACUGACGCUGAAGCUCGAAAGUGCGGGUAUCGAACAGGAUUAGAUACCCUGGUAGUCCGCACGGUAAACGAUGGAUGCCCGCUAUUCGCUCGAAUGAGUGAGUGGCCAAGCGAAAGCAUUAAGCAUCCCACCUGGGGAGUACGCCGGCAACGGUGAAACUCAAAGGAAUUGACGGGGGCCCGCACAAGCGGAGGAACAUGUGGUUUAAUUCGAUGAUACGCGAGGAACCUUACCCGGGCUUGAAUUGCAGAUGAACGAUCCAGAGAUGGUGAGGCCCUUCGGGGCAUCUGUGAAGGUGCUGCAUGGUUGUCGUCAGCUCGUGCCGUGAGGUGUCGGCUUAAGUGCCAUAACGAGCGCAACCCCUGUUCUUAGUUGCCAUCAGGUAAUGCUGGGCACUCUGGGAAUACUGCCACCGUAAGGUGUGAGGAAGGUGGGGAUGACGUCAAAUCAGCACGGCCCUUACGUCCGGGGCUACACACAUGUUACAAUGGCCGGUACAGAGAGUUGGUCGUGCGCAAGUACGGUCUAAUCCAUAAAACCGGUCUCAGUUCGGACUGGGGUCUGCAACCCGACCCCACGAAGCUGGA